GGCCCUAUGGUAUUAGCGGUAAACAUACUCCCCUGUCACGGGAGAGUCACGGGUUCGAAUCCCGUUGGGGCCG
Molecule: transfer RNA, 73 nt
Filed under: Pantoea phage vB_PagS_AAS21
Lineage: Duplodnaviria; Heunggongvirae; Uroviricota; Caudoviricetes; Demerecviridae
Rfam family: tRNA
About the family: Transfer RNA (tRNA) molecules are approximately 80 nucleotides in length. Their secondary structure includes four short double-helical elements and three loops (D, anti-codon, and T loops).
Source: Rfam by way of RNAcentral